Coregonus clupeaformis (lake whitefish) is the source of this 784-nucleotide long non-coding RNA. RefSeq lists it as uncharacterized. The record is from RefSeq and is a predicted model, not a curated record. The transcript is spliced from 5 exons. NCBI's taxonomy places the organism in Eukaryota, Metazoa, Chordata, Actinopteri, Salmoniformes, Salmonidae.
UCACUGUAGAUUACACCAGUCUGAGGAGAAGUUUAAAGUGCAUGGGUGCAUCAACAGCAGCAAGUUCCUAGUACAUACCGGGUACUGAGUGAAGCUACGAGGUUUGGAGCUGGUGAAAACAGAGACUUCGUUGAAGAAGACUAAGGACAGGAAGAGCAGCUCCUUACGCUACAGCUCCCCUCAGCAGCUUGAGAGUAUCAACCACCGCUACAACAAAGCCUGUGAGAUGUACAGUUUUGGCAUUGUCCUGUGGGAGAUUGCAACCCGCAAGAUUCCCUUCGGAGGUGUAUGUCAACUCCAUUAGUAGAAAGGCUGUGGACUGCUUACCAGAAGAGGUGUAUCAGAGGGUGAGUAAAGACAAAUAUACUGAACCUCUUCCUGAAGACUGCCCAAAACAGUUGGGAGAACUGAUCAACACCUGUCGCUCCUAUUACAGCUUCCACAGGCCAACGGCAGGAGUGUUGGUGGACAAGCUCCGCAAAGUGGUGGAGUAGUUAGAGGAGGACUAACAAACAAAGAGUUUCAUCUCCAGAGUUCUCAGAUACAUGGCUGGAGAAGAGGAAAACCAAGAACAGUUAUCAGCUCCAGGUUAAAGACAGACCAACUGACUGCCUCAAAUUCAUCAUGGGAUGAACAACACCCACACCCACAGACGUUUGAUCAAGUGCAUGUGAUAUAAUUUUAGCCUAGUACAUUUUCACAACAUUAGUCAGGAACAACUUUGAUUGAAACUGUGAAAUGAUUUGCAAUUGAUUUUACCAACCAUUAAACCACCACCAUCAAA